Molecule: ribosomal RNA, 468 nt
Filed under: uncultured bacterium
Lineage: Bacteria
Description: partial 16S ribosomal RNA
Rfam family: Bacterial small subunit ribosomal RNA
Source: RNAcentral
GACGAACGCUGGCGGCGUGCUUAACACAUGCCAGUCGAACGGAAAGGCCCUGCUUUUGUGGGGUGCUCGAGUGGCGAACGGGUGAGUAACACGUGAGUAACCUGCCCUUGACUUUGGGAUAACUUCAGGAAACUGGGGCUAAUACCGGAUAGGAGCUCCUGCUGCAUGGUGGGGGUUGGAAAGUUUCGGCGGUUGGGGAUGGACUCGCGGCUUAUCAGCUUGUUGGUGGGGUAGUGGCUUACCAAGGCUUUGACGGGUAGCCGGCCUGAGAGGGUGACCGGCCACAUUGGGACUGAGAUACGGACCAGACUGCUACGGGAGGCAGCAGUGGGGAAUAUUGCACAAUGGGCGGAAGCCUGAUGCAGCAACGCCGCGUGCGGGAUGACGGCCUUCGGGUUGUAAACCGCUUUCGCCUGUGACGAAGCGUGAGUGACGGUAAUGGGUAAAGAAGCACCGGCUAACUACGUG